UGAAGGAUUUACCAUUUCUGAGCUGC
This 26-nucleotide non-coding RNA is filed under the name Homo sapiens (human). Lineage: Eukaryota; Metazoa; Chordata; Mammalia; Primates; Hominidae. The record is from RNAcentral.